CGGUUAAGUCCGCUAACGAGCGCAACCCUCACUGUGUGUUAGUAUGUGUCACACGGGACUGCCGGUUUUAAGCCGGAGGAAGGUGGGGAUGACGUCAAGUCAGCAUGGCCUUUAUAUCCUGGGCUACACACACGCUACAAUGGUCGGUACAAUAGGUUGCCAAGCCGCGAGGCGGAGCCAAUCCACAAAGCCGGCCUCAGUUCAGAUUGUAGGCUGCAACUCGCCUGCAUGAAGAUGGAGUUGCUAGUAACCGCAGGUCAGCAAUACUGCGGUGAAUACGUUCCCGGGUCCUU
This 293-nucleotide ribosomal RNA is filed under the name uncultured Anaerolineaceae bacterium. Its description in RNAcentral is "partial 16S ribosomal RNA". It matches the Rfam family "Bacterial small subunit ribosomal RNA", at positions 1077 to 1382 of the family's 1533-position model. The record is from RNAcentral. Lineage: Bacteria; Bacillati; Chloroflexota; Anaerolineae; Anaerolineales; Anaerolineaceae.